This is a long non-coding RNA of Anneissia japonica, 151 nucleotides long. RefSeq lists it as uncharacterized. Lineage: Eukaryota; Metazoa; Echinodermata; Crinoidea; Comatulida; Comatulidae. The transcript is spliced from 3 exons. The record is from RefSeq and is a predicted model, not a curated record.
GGAAACAAAAUAUGAGCUGAACAAAAUUCAUAAUAGGGUUGACAUGACUAUGGCAGCAUUUGAACUGAAUGAGAAACUUGUAGAAGAAAAUAAAGCUACAUAUUUUGUUCCUGAUUUAAUUGAGUUGGAGAAGAUAAUAAGCGAUACAAUC